AUGGUAGAAGUGGGACAACUUGGAUCCCUGAAUGACCGUGUGGACCAGAGGCUUCCACCGUACCGCAGCACAAGCUCUCCUCUGAAGCGCUACCUCUGGAUGAAAGCACGGCGGUUACCAAGGACGGCGGAGGAGAUAUACACUUUCAGGAAGGUGGCAGAAAAGGGAAAAAAAAAAAUCUGUGUAUGUCCACCUGCACAGACCAGGAACUGCAGAAGCACAUGCCUCCCCUGUGUAACCUUGGAGGAGAGGCCCUCCUGGCAAGUGCCGCCCAUCAUCCAUCAGCCGCUGGAUUGCAAGGGAUGAGGGAGCCCAGGUAAGCAUGCCUUGACCUGUCAGGUAUGAAAUCAUCCGCCUGCCUGGAAGGCUCCAGUCUGUGACCACAAAACUGAGUUAAUAAGCAGGAGCCACGCUGAGGCGCCAAGACAGGCCCGGUUCCGGAAGUUUUAGGUACUUGUGUGUGGCGUGCCCGUAAACACAUGCACACACAUACAUUUAUUUAUAAACGUAUAUUUAAUUAAAGAAGAGGCUGCUUGCAUAAGGUGUUCACAGAGGUAAGUGAUGAGCUAAGUUUUACUAAUUUAAAAGCUUUGGGGGCAUGAACCUGCAGAAGAGUUGAGUAUGUGAAGCUAGCAUUUUAAACAUUAAAGAUGUUUUUUUAUACAGCAAGAGAGAUUUUGAACCUACUCACCACAGCGGAGGCUCCAGGAAGGGUAGGAGAGGACUGUAGAGGAGAAUGAUUUAUCUUGUUUAUCUCAGGGUGAGUCCUCGGGGUACAGGCUGGGUCCUGUCCACUGCACCACAGGUCCACGAAAUCUUUUGCCUCCAGCAGAGCUUCUUUGCAUCUCAAGGUCCCCGCGCAGAAGAGCUGCCUCUCCUAAAUUUUCUGAUUUACAGUGACUUGCUCAGUAGCAAUUAGGAACAGAAACAGAAAUAGCAAAAGCCAUUACUUUAUCGGCUCUAUACACUUCCAUCCUGUGGCGUAUAACAAAUCUACCUAAUUAUGCCCUUUGCGUGAGACAUUUUUGCUUUUAAAUAGAACACGAGCUCAAGCGUGCACGUCCUCAGUUUUUCUCUCUCCUCCUUUCAGGAGCAGGCUUCUCAAGAUAGUGGUCCGCACUUGCUGUCUGCAUGUACUAACUCUCAUUCCCUCCAGGGCCAAUUUCGGCCUGGCUUCUGGCCCUUUCAUCCCCACGCCCCGAACAGCUGUCAUGAGGACUCCAAAAAUUACAUAUCAUUGAUUGCAAUACACCCCCCCCUUUUUUUAAACUUUGUUUUUAUGGGAUUUCUUACCAACAUGGCCUCUUGGCCAUUUCCCCCAUGGCACAUCUCUGUCCUCUCUCAUUCUUCCUUAACUUUCCCUGUAACCUUUCCUGGGCUCAUCCUCCUCUGCCAGAUGGUUAUGUGUCAGAGGUGAGCAGGUCUUUUGUCCUGAGCCCUCUCUUGCUCUACCUCUGCCAAGUGUCCUCCCAAGCUACCUUACUCAAUCCCACACUUUCGUGGAGAAACGCCUGUUAAUGAUUCAUGUGGGAGAGUAACAGGAUGGAACCGUUAACCAGACGCUCAAUGUACCCAGUCCUCAUUACAUCCCUAGGAGGUAGAUCUUAAUAUUCUUAUUCCCCUUCAACAGAUAAGAAAACCAAGGCAUAUAAAGAUUAAGGAACUUGCCCAAGUUCAACAUCUCGGGUGUAGCAGAGAUAGGAUUUAAUCCCAUCCCUCUGUGCUCUUAAACUUUACACUCGUUACAUAAUCUCCUGAGCUCUGGAUCUGUUUAUGCACCUGCCUCUUUGUGUGUUUUCAAGCUCAACACACCUGAAACUAAAUAUAACGUUGGAAACUUGGUCCUUGUUAGGCAAUCCGUGUGCCUUUGGACGGCACCAUCUGUCAGAAACCCCAGAGUCAUUGCAGUCGUUCCACAGGCAUUGGAAUCAACACGCAUGGACACCUAAACUUGGCAGGAGGAGACACUGAACCAAUCCACAGGCUUUGACUCACUGCACUAGCACCACAGACCGUCUGAGGACCUACUAUUGAGUUUAGAGCAUCCUUCAGGUCACAAGACGGCACUGGAGCUGAAUGUUGCAGUGAAGUUUCGGGAGAAAAAAAAGACAGUGAAAAACAAGGCCAAGCAAAGUCUAGAGCUGAGACCUUGUCCCGAUGGAAAGUUUGAGAGAACAGCCCCCCAACUCCCACUUUCCACUUCUCCUGGUCAGGUGGACCCACUGUCCUUGCCUCUGUCUCGUUUAGAGUCACAGGUGUCCUGUGGUCGUCGUUGCUCUGUGGCAGACUUGACGUAUCUUUUCAUCACUCCAUGCCAUUUGAACCACCUUUGCUAGCUCCUCUGUACACCCCCAGACAACGGCAAAGUUCCCUUUUUAACAUUGGCCUGGGGUAGAAGGAAAUGGUCAGUAGCCAAGCAUUCUGGACCACGCAGCUCCAUCAUGAAAGGAUACAUAGUGACAUCAUAGAAAGGAAGGUUGGUGUAGGGCAUAGGACAGGAAGAUCCAAAGGACCCGUGUGGUUUGGCCAAGUGUGAUUAUUUUUUUUUUUAUGUACACCAGUACAAAAUACAGUUGCUAGAUAAAAUAUAAGGCACCCAUUUAAAUUUGAAUUUCACAUAAAUAUGGAACAUACACCGAAAAAAAUUAUGUGUUGUUUAUCUGACAUUCAAAUUUAACUGAGUAUCCCGUGGUGGUUUUAUUUGCCAAGUAUGGCAACCUUAGUACAAAGUAAUCCCUGUGUCAUAUAUGGGCUUCCAGUACCUGAUUGUCUGUGCAGUACACGAUUGAUCCCAGUGGUCAGGAAUAAAUAUGUAAUGAUAAUGUUUCUCUAGGACCA
Molecule: long non-coding RNA, 2838 nt
Organism: Vulpes vulpes (red fox)
Lineage: Eukaryota; Metazoa; Chordata; Mammalia; Carnivora; Canidae
Source: Ensembl